Molecule: long non-coding RNA, 1311 nt
Filed under: Marmota monax (woodchuck)
Lineage: Eukaryota; Metazoa; Chordata; Mammalia; Rodentia; Sciuridae
Source: RNAcentral
GCCAGAUUUAACCCUCCCCAUUCUCUACAGCUAGAGUUGGAGUCUGGAAAAUGCAACGGAGAUAUCUGGAUAUGUGUGCAGGGAUUAGUACCUACCCCUGCACUAGGUAUCAUGACCUCUCCAUACCCUUCUCUUGAAGAUCUCACUGGCUGCCCCUCUUUCUCUGGAGAAGCAAGGUAACCCCAACCAUCCUGAGGCAAUGUGGUGCUAUGUUGAGAAUGCCUCUUUAGCCAGCAUGGGGCAACAGAAAAAUCAGGUCAGGGAGGAGAUGUGACCUAGGGCUCUGUCCUUGGACUCUGCUCCCUGCUGGACUCUGAGGAGCAUUCCUAAGGGGCCAUGCUAAAGAGCACAGUGCUCAUAGGGGUCAUGGAGCAAGCGAUGGCGCAUCCAGAUGAUGACUAUCUCACUGUCCUAGCUGGAACCCAAGGACAUGUACAGAGGCUUGGUCCUUCCUUUGUAAUUCCAAAAUCCAAAAGUUCUGGAAAACAAGUGUUUUUUGCAGCUCACUGGGGGUAAAAAAUGACUUGACAUCACAUAAGAUCAUAUAUUUUAAUCCCAUCUAGGUCCAAUCAUUGUAUUUUUGCAGCAGAAAUAUUGAAGAGUGUGAUUGUGGGAUGCUACUGAGAAUAUUAAACAUUUUAGAGGAUACAAAUUAUGCUACCUUUCCAUAUCUGAGAAAACUUGUAAUUUAAAUGAACUUCAGAAAGUUCAGAAUUCUGAACUCCAUCUGACUCCUCAGGUUUUUUGUUGUUGUUCUUGUUGUUUUGGGUUUUUUGUUUUUGGUUUUUUUUUUGGUUUUCCUUUAGGUGUUGAGGAUUGAACCAAGGCAUGCUCUACCACUGAGUCACAUCCCAGUCAUUUUUAUUUUUAAUUUUGAGACAGGAUAUCACUAAGUUGCAUGGGGCCUUGCUAAGUUGCUGAGGCUGGCCUUGAACUUGUGAUCCUCCUGCCCCAGCUUCCUGAGUCACUGGGAUUACAGAUGUAUACUACCAUACCCAACUGUCUGCUAAAGUUUUGGAUAGGGAAUUGUGGACAUAAAGACUGGAUACAAAAAAACCAAUAAGCUCAUGAAAAGAUGUGCGAUCACAUUAACCACCAGGAAAAUGCAAACAAGAUGACAAUGAGAAACUGCUUUAUACUAACUAUAAUGGCUACAAUAAAAAGACAGACAAUGACAAGGAUAUAGAGAAACAGGAACCCUCAUUCAUUUCUGGUGGGAAUGCAAAACAGUGCAGCUUUAAAGAACAGUUUGCAAGUUACCGUAUGAACUAGCUACUUUACUCCUAGGUAUACAUCCAAGGAAAACAAAAA